Molecule: ribosomal RNA, 403 nt
Filed under: uncultured eukaryote
Lineage: Eukaryota
Description: SSU rRNA
Rfam family: Eukaryotic small subunit ribosomal RNA
Source: RNAcentral
AGCUCCAAUAGCGUAUAUUAAAGUUGUUGCAGUUAAAAAGCUCGUAGUCGGAUUUCGGGGCGGGCCGAGCGGUCUGCCGAUGGGUAUGCACUGUUCGGCGCGUCCUUCUUUCCGGAGACCGCGCCUACUCUUAGCUGAGCGGGCGCGGGAGACGGAUCGUUUACUUUGAAAAAUCAGAGUGUUUCAAGCAGGCAUGUCGCUCUUGCAUGGAUUAGCAUGGGAUAAUGAAAUAGGACUUUGGUGCUAUUUUGUUGGUUUCGAGCACCGGAGUAAUGAUUAACAGGGACAGUCAGGGGCACUCGUAUUCCGCAGAGAGAGGUGAAAUUCUUAGACCCGCGGAAGACGAACCACUGCGAAAGCAUUUGCCAGGGAUGUUUUCACUGAUCAAGAACGAAAGUUAACG